AGCAUAGUGGCCGAGUGGUUAAGGCGAGUGACUUAAGUUUUCAACCAGUCAUCACUUGAGCGAAAGCUCUCACGAGUUCAAAUCUCGUCUAUGCUA
RNAcentral lists this transfer RNA (96 nucleotides) under Lasallia pustulata. RNAcentral describes it as "Umbilicaria pustulata tRNA-Leu". It matches the Rfam family "tRNA". From Rfam's summary of the family: Transfer RNA (tRNA) molecules are approximately 80 nucleotides in length. Their secondary structure includes four short double-helical elements and three loops (D, anti-codon, and T loops). Lineage: Eukaryota; Fungi; Ascomycota; Lecanoromycetes; Umbilicariales; Umbilicariaceae. The record is from RNAcentral.